GAGGGCAUUACUGAGUUUACGCUCUACAACCCUUUGUGAACAUACCUACAACUGUUGCUUCGGCGGGUAGGGUCUCCGCGACCCUCCCGGCCUCCCGCCUCCGGGCGGGUCGGCGCCCGCCGGAGGAUAACCAAACUCUGAUUUAACGACGUUUCUUCUGAGUGGUACAAGCAAAUAAUCAAAACUUUUAACAACGGAUCUCUUGGUUCUGGCAUCGAUGAAGAACGCAGCGAAAUGCGAUAAGUAAUGUGAAUUGCAGAAUUCAGUGAAUCAUCGAAUCUUUGAACGCACAUUGCGCCCGCCAGCAUUCUGGCGGGCAUGCCUGUUCGAGCGUCAUUUCAACCCUCAAGCUCUGCUUGGUGUUGGGGCCCUACAGCCGAUGUAGGCCCUCAAAGGUAGUGGCGGACCCUCCCGGAGCCUCCUUUGCGUAGUAACUUUACGUCUCGCACUGGGAUCCGGAGGGACUCUUGCCGUAAAACCCCCCAAUUUUCCAAAGGUUGACCUCGGAUCAGGUAGGAAUACCCGCUGAACUUAAGCAUAUCAAUAAGGCCGGAGGAA
Molecule: ribosomal RNA, 558 nt
Filed under: Colletotrichum gloeosporioides
Lineage: Eukaryota; Fungi; Ascomycota; Sordariomycetes; Glomerellales; Glomerellaceae
Description: eukaryotic LSU rRNA
Rfam family: 5.8S ribosomal RNA (bases 183-336)
Source: RNAcentral